Long non-coding RNA from Gallus gallus (chicken), 2302 nucleotides. RefSeq lists it as uncharacterized. The record is from RefSeq and is a predicted model, not a curated record. Lineage: Eukaryota; Metazoa; Chordata; Aves; Galliformes; Phasianidae. The transcript is spliced from 2 exons.
AUGAGCUCAGUUGUCUCUGUAUCAGCAUCCUUGUGGAAUUGUCCUUCAGUUGGAUGGUAGAUGGCUCCUGCAGUCUGGAAGGGCAUUGCAGAGGCACCUUGCUCCCUGGGACAUCUCAGGUCUGCAGAGCAAACAGAGGAUGGCUGCAACGGGUUGACGUACAGGGAUUGGGACCUUGAACUAAGGUGAGGGGACCCACCUGCAGCUUGGGCUGCUCCAGUGCACCUGCUCUUCAAGUAGAGCCACAGCAGGACCCCACUCACCAUCACCAUCAGGGUGAGCAGCGUUAUCAGCGCAGAGCAGGAUGAUGGAGAACCUGCAGGGAGAACCCAGGUCAGGAUCCCACUUCCAGCCAGCAACAGUGAUGGGAGAAAAUCUGACACCAAACAGCCUCAUACCUCAGCAUUUCAGUGACUAAGGGCUUUCCUUAGAUUUUGUAUUAACCCACAACUAAUCCCUUUCUGAUCCAGUUUGUGCUGCCUGCGAUGCUGUGGUGGCUGCAGCACUGCACUAUGUCCUUUGUGUGGUUUGUACCCCACCUAAGAUCAUCUCCCUGGGUAUCUGAUAGGCAGUAGGCUUUGAGAAAAUUUUCAUAUUCCUCAGUCCUGCUGUGCUGAUAAUCUUACAAGACCACCAUCACCUCACUGGUGUGCUGUUCUCUAUUAUAUGGAAUCAAAGGCUAUGCAUAGAAAAGAAAGGCAUACUUCUGAUCCCCAUCCAUCAUUCCUGUUCUAACCUAUUUCAGAAAAGCUGUCAGGAGAGCACAGAGAGUCCUUGAGGGCUGAGAAAUCUGAGCUGCAAGAGGAAACUGGACAAAUUAGCUUCUUCUAAAAUCAGAAAAGCAUCUCUGAUGCUCCAAGAAGUGAUAUCUGGGUUCACUGUAGAAAACAAACAAUAUCCACCAAGAAAAAGCUUGCUCUGACAAGCACAUGCCACAACCUUUAUACCUCUCCUUCUGAAGUGAAAGGGCUGCAUCCACCCCUUUGGCUGCUCUCCCCACUGCUGCAGAUGGUGGGAUUUGGCACUCACCUCUUGGCUCUGUGCACACCACACUGGCUGCCACACCGUGCUGGCACAGCCCUGGGCCGAUCUUGUUCUGCUGGCACUCCAGGAAGAGUGACUCAGCACCACGGCAUUGCAGCCCCUCCAGAAAGAUGUAGUUGUGAUUCUGGCUGAUCCGGGUUCCUGCACUUUCAGCCUGUGCUGGUCCACAGCCCAACUGCUUGCAGACCACCUCUGCCUCCAGUGAGCUCCAGCUUUUGUCACAGAUGCUGUACCAGGUGGCGUUGUACCGAACCUCCACACGCCCUGCACAGGGGCUUGAGCUGUCCCGCAGCCGCACCUGCAAGGGGUUGGUGCCUGCAGGGAAGAGCAAAGGGUGUGAUGUGGGCUCCUCAAGCAGCAGGGGGACUGAGAGACUAAGGGAUGUGCAAGAUACAUGUGCUUUGCAUGCCCAUGCACUCCAACAGGUAUGGACAAGGAUGCAAUAUGCUACCUAUGCUCACUGCAUGAAUUACCCCUUUCAAGAACAUCCCCAUCAUCUCACACAUCUGCACAUAAUGUGGUGCCGUGGGACCAAGUCGGAGCUGACUACAUCCCAGUGCAAGAAAAACUUGUGCAGAACCUCUGUGUUCCUGAGUAUGGUUCCAGCAUCAUCCCUGUGAUCACCUGAGCACACCACUGCCGCAUCUUCCUCGUGGUUGCAGUUAUGGUUUCCCCAGUUAUUCAGUCUGCACUGGGAGAGGCUGGCUUCAGUGCCACUGCACUCCACAUCAUCCAACCAGAUGGGAUCAGACCCUCGUCCGAAGUGAGCCUUGCCCGGAGCUGAUACCGCUGUGCCGCAGCCCAGCUGCCGGCACACCACCUUAGCACUCCUUAAAUUCCAGCUGUCAUCACACACUGUUCCCCACUGCCCGUUGUGAAACACCUCAAUUCUGCCAGCACAGUGAUUCGGGCCAUUCACCAACCGGAUCUGCAUUUCUUCUGUGGUGUUGGAGUCUUCUGCAGCGGGAAAUGUGUGGUUUUCUGUUGAAGAGAAAAUAAGGCAUCUGUCAUCUGUCACUUUGCAUCACUGAAAAUAAAAAUUAAAAUUAAAAAAAAAAAAAAAAAGAAGAAGAAGAAGAAAGUGCUAAGAGUUGCUCAGGUUCCCCCCUGGAUGGAGGUGUGUUGUGGUUUAGCCAAGCACCACACACGCUCACUCCCCGCCCCUUCUCACUCCUUCUCAGUGGGAUGGGGGAGAGAACUGGGGAAAAAACAAUGUAGAACUUGUGGGUUGAGAUAAGAACUAUUUACGAAGAUGGGG